UUUUAUGGGUUACUAGUAUUACAAUAUUACUCCAUAUUGUAAUAUGUUUUAAAUACCCUACCUAUGAUUUUGAAUAUUCAUUUUAGUACCAUGUGGUUUACCAAAUUUUUAUUAUAGUAUUAUGUGGUUUUAACUUUUUCACUAAUUUAAUAAAAAAAUUAACAAAAAGUGUAACGAAAAAGAGAAGAACAAAAAUAUUAAAAUGAUACAUUUUAAACUAUAAGAUACUAAAAUUUACAAGAGUGGUACUACUAAAGUAAAAAAGAGCAACACCAAGGUCCCACUCAAAGCAAUAAUUAGUCCAUAGGGAAUUAACACCCACUGCAUGGAAAAUGUCACCUUCUCCUACUACAUUCAUGUGGCCUCACAUGCACCACUUUUAAAGUCAACACUGAUAUACCUGCUUCCAAUUAGUUACUGCAUAAACAUUUCUCAAAAAUAAGAAAGUUAUUUGUAUACCCAUAUUGAGGGUGACCUUGUUUUGAAUUUUUAAUAUAAAAAAUGAUAAGAUUAAUGUAACGAUCCAGCCCAUUAACAAUAAUAACUCGUUGGGCCCAACCACCGGUUCAAAAUGUUUAAACCCAGUUAUUAUUAUUGGUGUCUAUUUCCAAUCACAUUCCCAUUCCUAUUCAAUAUAGAAUUAUUGGAAUAUGACAAUUAAUCCUAAAAUAUUAGCCCUAU
RNAcentral lists this long non-coding RNA (681 nucleotides) under Ananas comosus (pineapple). RNAcentral's name for it is "long non-coding RNA (ACOM_LNC000837)". The record is from RNAcentral. Lineage: Eukaryota; Viridiplantae; Streptophyta; Magnoliopsida; Poales; Bromeliaceae.